GGUGAGUAACACGUGGGCAACCUGCCUGUAAGACGGGGAUAACUCCGGGAAACCGGGGCUAAUACCGGAUGAUUCUUAUCUACACAUGUAGGUAAGCUAAAAGUCGGUUUCGGCUGACACUUACAGAUGGGCCCGCGGCGCAUUAGCUAGUUGGUGAGGUAACGGCUCACCAAGGCGACGAUGCGUAGCCGACCUGAGAGGGUGAUCGGCCACACUGGGACUGAGACACGGCCCAGACUCCUACGGGAGGCAGCAGUAGGGAAUCUUCCACAAUGGACGAAAGUCUGAUGGAGCAACGCCGCGUGAGCGAUGAAGGCCUUCGGGUCGUAAAGCUCUGUUGUUAGGGAAGAACAAGUACCGGAGUAACUGCCGGUGCCCCUUNNGGGGNCNAAAACNNAAAGCCACGGCUAACUACNUGCCAGCAGCCGCGGUAAUACGUAGGUGGCAAGCGUUGUCCGGAAUUAUUGGGCGUAAAGCACGCGCAGGCGGUCCUUUAAGUCUGAUGUGAAAGCCCCCGGCUCAACCGGGGAGGGUCAUUGGAAACUGGAGGACUUGAGUGCAGAAGANGAAAGCGGAAUUCCACGUGUAGCGGUGAAAUGCGUAGAGAUGUGGAGGAACACCAGUGGCGAAGGCGGCUUUCUGGUCUGUAACUGACGCUGANGCGCGAAAGCGUGGGGAGCAAACANGAUUANAUACCCUGGUAGUCCACGCC
This 712-nucleotide ribosomal RNA is filed under the name uncultured bacterium. RNAcentral describes it as "bacterial SSU rRNA". It matches the Rfam family "Bacterial small subunit ribosomal RNA", at positions 105 to 801 of the family's 1533-position model. The record is from RNAcentral.